UGGAAGCUGUCAUUUCACCACUGUUUUUUUUUUCUACCGUGUGAUCCUUCAUUUUCAGGUUCAGCAAACUGAGGCUCCGACUGCUCUGGAAGUGGCUAACGCAACGUGCAGUUAAGUGCAAUACAUCCAUUAACUUAGACACUAUAACAUGAGCUGACUCUUCACAGUCCCGCACGCAUGAUGAGCCCCCCCCCCCUACCACAGCUUACCCUCCCAGCGGGCACCAGCCUGCCCGGCAGCCCCAGACGCUGUGUGCCGGGUCAUCCCAGCAAGGCUGCUCCAGAGGACCUGUUCUACCUCCUGUCGCGAAGGGUUGUCCAUAACAACCAACCAGGUGCCUAACGGAGAUGAUAAAUAAGAUCAGCUCUUCCACUGUGACUUUCGUCGGG
Molecule: long non-coding RNA, 389 nt
Organism: Oncorhynchus masou masou (cherry salmon)
Lineage: Eukaryota; Metazoa; Chordata; Actinopteri; Salmoniformes; Salmonidae
Exons: 4
Source: RefSeq, a predicted model, not a curated record